AUUGAACGCUGGCGGUAUGCUUAACACAUGCAAGUCGAACGGCAGCAUGGUCUAGCGUGCUAGACUGAUGGUGAGUGGCGGACGGGUGAGUAACGCGUAGGAAGAUGCCUUGAAGAGUGGGACAACUUGGGGAAACUCAAGCUAAUACCGCAUGUACUCGAGAGAGUAAAGCUGGGGACCUUGAGGUCUGGCGCUUUAAGAUUAGCCUGCGUCCGAGUAGCUAGUUGGUAGGGUAAAGGCAUACCAAGGCGACGAUCGGUAGCUGGUCUGAGAGGAUGAUCAGCCACACUGGAACUGAGAGACGGUCCAGACUCCUACGGGAGGCAGCAGUGGGGAAUAUUGGACAAUGGGGGGAACCCUGAUCCAGCAAUGCCGCGUGUGUGAAGAAGGCCUGAGGGUUGUAAAGCACUUUCAGUGGGGAGGAGGUUUGGAAGGUUAAGAGCUAUUCGAAUGGACGUUACCCACAGAAGAAGCACCGGCUAACUCCGUGCCAGCAGCCGCGGUAA
RNAcentral lists this ribosomal RNA (506 nucleotides) under uncultured bacterium. Its description in RNAcentral is "partial 16S ribosomal RNA". It matches the Rfam family "Bacterial small subunit ribosomal RNA", at positions 30 to 523 of the family's 1533-position model. The record is from RNAcentral.